Molecule: ribosomal RNA, 31 nt
Filed under: Williopsis jadinii
Lineage: Eukaryota; Fungi; Ascomycota; Saccharomycetes; Phaffomycetales; Wickerhamomycetaceae
Description: Cyberlindnera jadinii partial 28S ribosomal RNA
Source: RNAcentral
UUGACCUCAGAUCAGGUAGGGAUACCCGAUG